GUUGCACUUGCUGCUACUGAGCCUUCAAGUCUUCUCUUCGACCUGAAGUUACCGUGACUCUUCACAUUACCUCCAAAAAAACAAUAGUCUUUCUAAAGACUCCAUCUCCGCCCUCCAUUUCCACCUUUCCUUGUGGUGAGGCAAUUUUUGCCACAGAAAAAAAAUCUCAAGACUCCCAUCCUGUCUUUUGUGGUGCUGCAGACUUUUCAGGCUUGUUCCAGACCGGCUCUUCCAGAGUAGUGUCACGUGUGACACUGUGCCUGUCUUUGUCUGCACACCCUGCACUGCACUCAUAUACAACAGAACCCACUAACGCCUACCUGCAAACAUACUUACGACAAGAACUGAACACUUCCUGAGAACAUAUUUGAUUGCACAUACUAUACUCUGUACAUACUAUACUCUGUAC
This is a long non-coding RNA of Sardina pilchardus (European sardine), 409 nucleotides long. RefSeq lists it as uncharacterized. The transcript is spliced from 3 exons. The record is from RefSeq and is a predicted model, not a curated record. NCBI's taxonomy places the organism in Eukaryota, Metazoa, Chordata, Actinopteri, Clupeiformes, Clupeidae.